This 702-nucleotide long non-coding RNA is filed under the name Monodelphis domestica (gray short-tailed opossum). Its description in RNAcentral is "lncRNA (ENSMODG00000038684.1)". Lineage: Eukaryota; Metazoa; Chordata; Mammalia; Didelphimorphia; Didelphidae. The record is from RNAcentral.
CUUAUCUUAUUAAUAUAAGAGGCUGGUCUGAAAAGAUAGUGAACUUUGUGAAGUUGUGUGCCUAAGAGAGAACUAUGAUAUUGUGCUCUAUGUUGAAAGAGAAAUAAUGGACCAAUAGAAUUCUAGAUAGAUUAUAAUGGUAUCCCUAUGGAAAAUCAGAGGCAAAUUUGAUAACUACUACAUCAAGGGCUGCCUUGUGACAUGAUUCUUUGAGAGCCGAGCCAGUGGUCUCUCAGAGCUUAGGUUUGGCUUUGAGGAGAAAUGAAGAAAAACCUUGGACUAUUUUGGCAGCUUUUCUUUGUCCAUUUUUGGAAACAAAGGAAGGAAACCAGUUUCUGUCUGCUAUUGUGAUAACAUUUUGGUUUGAAGAAAAUUCACAGAAGAUUCUUUGUUUGGAUUUUGAAUUUCACCUCAGAGCCACACACUCUGUACAGCUGCAGCAGUAAGAGAGGAGCCAUGGAGUAGGAAUGUGUACCCAUGAGUGUGGUAGCUGAAGAACUGGAGCCCAUCAGCUAUGGCCACUCCCAGAAGAAUAGUCUCUCUGGCAGCAGUCAGAGAAGCUAGUAGACUGGUUGCUUGCAUUUGAAGUGACAGAACUGUCCAUGGAUUUGGGAAUUUAUUUUCCAAGACAAACUCAGGAAUUGUAUGAACACAACUAUGAAACACUUUUCCUACAAAUAAAAUGAGAUCUAAAAAAAUUCA